CUGCUUCAGAUCUCACAGCAGAAUAUUUUGUUCCACCACGGCUACUACUCACAUUUCCAAGAUUACGAGGUGGUGUACCCCUCGUGGUAUUGUUGCUGGGUCAAACAUUCUAAACUUUUUCUUUCUCAGAUAUUUCUGGGCAAUUACGAAUAAAAUAGUUAUAUGAACCACAUUUGAAACACACCCCAUCUUUCACCUUGCACUUG
Molecule: long non-coding RNA, 206 nt
Filed under: Gossypium barbadense (sea-island cotton)
Lineage: Eukaryota; Viridiplantae; Streptophyta; Magnoliopsida; Malvales; Malvaceae
Description: long non-coding RNA (GBAR_LNC001752)
Source: RNAcentral